UGAGUGGCGGACGGGUGAGUAACGCGUGGGCAACCUGGCCUGUACAGGGGAUAACACUUAGAAAUAGGUGCUAAUACCGCAUAACGGGGGGAGCCGCAUGGCACCCCCUGAAAACUCCGGUGGUACAGGAUGGGCCCGCGUCUGAUUAGCUGGUUGGCAGGGUAACGGCCUACCAAGGCGACGAUCAGUAGCCGGCCUGAGAGGGCGGACGGCCACACUGGGACUGAGACACGGCCCAGACUCCUACGGAAGGCAGCAG
RNAcentral lists this ribosomal RNA (259 nucleotides) under uncultured bacterium. Its description in RNAcentral is "partial 16S ribosomal RNA". It matches the Rfam family "Bacterial small subunit ribosomal RNA", at positions 92 to 354 of the family's 1533-position model. The record is from RNAcentral.